UACAGAGACUGCAAGCGUUAUUCGGAUUCACUGGGCGUAAAGGGCGCGUAGGCGGCCUGCUAAGUCGAACGUGAAAUCCCUGGGCUCAACCCAGGAACUGCGUCCGAUACUGGUUGGCUUGAAUCCGGGAGAGGGAUGUGGAAUUCCAGGUGUAGCGGUGAAAUGCGUAGAUAUCUGGAGGAACACCGGUGGCGAAGGCGACAUCCUGGACCGGCAUUGACGCUGAGGCGCGAAAGCCAGGGGAGCAAACGGG
Molecule: ribosomal RNA, 253 nt
Filed under: uncultured bacterium
Lineage: Bacteria
Description: partial 16S ribosomal RNA
Rfam family: Bacterial small subunit ribosomal RNA
Source: RNAcentral